Molecule: ribosomal RNA, 295 nt
Filed under: uncultured bacterium
Lineage: Bacteria
Description: partial 16S ribosomal RNA
Rfam family: Bacterial small subunit ribosomal RNA
Source: RNAcentral
AGGCCUACGGGGGGCAGCAGUGAGGAAUAUUGGUCAAUGGCCGAGAGGCUGAACCAGCCAAGUCGCGUGAGGGAUGACGGCCCUACGGGUUGUAAACCUCUUUUGUCGGGGAGCAAGACCCGCCUCGUGCAGGCGGAGCGAGAGUACCCGAAGAAAAAGCAUCGGCUAACUCCGUGCCAGCAGCCGCGGUAAUACGGAGGAUGCGAGCGUUAUCCGGAUUUAUUGGGUUUAAAGGGUGCGCAGGCGGACCAUCAAGUCAGGGGUAAAAUUGUGGGGGCAAAACCGAUACGGCAGU